RNAcentral lists this ribosomal RNA (263 nucleotides) under uncultured bacterium. RNAcentral describes it as "partial 16S ribosomal RNA". It matches the Rfam family "Bacterial small subunit ribosomal RNA", at positions 336 to 596 of the family's 1533-position model. The record is from RNAcentral.
UUCCUACGGGGCGCAGCAGUGAGGAAUAUUGGUCAAUGGACGAAAGUCUGAACCAGCCAUGCCGCGGGCAGGAAGACGGCUCUAUGAGUUGUAAACUGCUUUUGUACAAGGGUAAACCUGAAUACGUGUAUUCAGCUGAAAGUACUGUACGAAUAAGGAUCGGCUAACUCCGUGCCAGCAGCCGCGGUAAUACGGAGGAUCCAAGCGUUAUCCGGAUUUAUUGGGUUUAAAGGGGGAGUAGGAGGAUUGAUAAGUUAGAGGUG